This 450-nucleotide ribosomal RNA is filed under the name uncultured bacterium. Its description in RNAcentral is "partial 16S ribosomal RNA". It matches the Rfam family "Bacterial small subunit ribosomal RNA", at positions 354 to 796 of the family's 1533-position model. The record is from RNAcentral.
GUGGGGAAUAUUGGACAAUGGGCGAAAGCCUGAUCCAGCCAUGCCGCGUGUGUGAAGAAGGUCUUCGGAUUGUAAAGCACUUUAAGUUGGGAGGAAGGGCAGUAAGUUAAUACCUUGCUGUUUUGACGUUACCGACAGAAUAAGCACCGGCUAACUUCGUGCCAGCAGCCGCGGUAAUACGAAGGGUGCAAGCGUUAAUCGGAAUUACUGGGCGUAAAGCGCGCGUAGGUGGUUUUGUAAGUUGGAGGUGAAAUCCCCGGGCUCAACCUGGGAACUGCCUCCAAAACUGCAUGGCUAGAGUACGGUAGAGGGUAGUGGAAUUUCCUGUGUAGCGGUGAAAUGCGUAGAUAUAGGAAGGAACACCAGUGGCGAAGGCGACCACCUGGACUGAUACUGACACUGAGGUGCGAAAGCGUGGGGAGCAAACAGGAUUAGAAACCCGGGUAGUCC